This 520-nucleotide unclassified non-coding RNA is filed under the name uncultured Glomus. RNAcentral describes it as "SSU rRNA". It matches the Rfam family "Eukaryotic small subunit ribosomal RNA", at positions 569 to 1095 of the family's 1831-position model. Lineage: Eukaryota; Fungi; Glomeromycota; Glomeromycetes; Glomerales; Glomeraceae. The record is from RNAcentral.
AGCAGCCGCGGUAAUUCCAGCUCCAAUAGCGUAUAUUAAAGUUGCUGCAGUUAAAAGCUCGUAGUUGAAUUUCGGGACUAAUAUGUCGGUCGUGCCUCGGUACGUACUGGUUUAUUGGUUUCUCCUUUCUGAAGAACCAUGAUGUCAUUUAUUUGGUGUCGUGGGGAAUCAGGACUGUUACUUUGAAAAAUUAGAGUGUUUAAAGCAGGCUCACGCUUGAAUACAUUAGCAUGGAAUAAUGAAAUAGGACGUUUGAUUCUAUUUUGUUGGUUUCUAGGAUCGACGUAAUGAUUAAUAGGGAUAGUUGGGGGCAUUAGUAUUCAAUUGUCAGAGGUGAAAUUCUUGGAUUUAUUGAAGACUAACUACUGCGAAAGCAUUUGCCAAGGAUGUUUUCAUUAAUCAAGAACGAAAGUUAGGGAUCGAAGACGAUCAGAUACCGUCGUAGUCUUAACCAUAAACUAUGCCGACUAGGGAUCGGAUGAUGUUAAUUUUUAAUGUACUCAUUCGGCGCCUUACGGGA